This 865-nucleotide ribosomal RNA is filed under the name uncultured Pseudomonadota bacterium. RNAcentral describes it as "bacterial SSU rRNA". It matches the Rfam family "Bacterial small subunit ribosomal RNA", at positions 28 to 871 of the family's 1533-position model. Lineage: Bacteria; Pseudomonadati; Pseudomonadota. The record is from RNAcentral.
AACGAACGUUGGCGGCGCGCUUAACACAUGCAAGUCGAACGCGAAAGGUCUUCGGACCGAGUAGAGUGGCGCACGGGUGAGUAACACGUGAGUAACCUGCCCUUUGGUCUGGGAUAACAAGCCGAAAGGCUUGCUAAUACCGGAUAAGACCACGGUGUCUUCGGACGCAGUGGGAAAAGUUGGGGACCGGAGACGGCCUGACGCAGAAGGAUGGGCUCGCGGCCUAUCAGCUUGUUGGUGAGGUAAUGGCUCACCAAGGCUUAGACGGGUAGCUGGUCUGAGAGGAUGAUCAGUCACACUGGAACUGAGACACGGUCCAGACUCCUACGGGAGGCAGCAGUGGGGAAUUUUGCGCAAUGGGCGAAAGCCUGACGCAGCGACGCCGCGUGUGCGAUGAAGGCCCUUGGGUCGUAAAGCACUGUCAAGCGGGAAGAACGGUCUUCGGUUAAUACCCGGAGGCUCUGACGGUACCGCUGGAGGAAGCACCGGCUAACUCUGUGCCAGCAGCCGCGGUAAUACAGAGGGUGCAAACGUUGUUCGGAAUUACUGGGCGUAAAGAGCUUGUAGGCGGCAUGUUAAGUCGACUGUGAAAGCCCAUGGCUCAACCAUGGAAGUGCAGCCGAUACUGGCACGCUAGAGUCCCGGAGAGGGUGGUGGAAUUCCCAGUGUAGAGGUGAAAUUCGUAGAUAUUGGGAGGAACACCAGUGGCGAAGGCGACCACCUGGACGGGUACUGACGCUGAGAAGCGAAAGCGUGGGGAGCAAACAGGAUUAGAUACCCUGGUAGUCCACGCCGUANACGAUGAGCACUAGGUGUUGCGGGUAUUGACCCCUGCAGUGCCGACGCUAACGCAUUAAGUGCUCCG